Long non-coding RNA from Bacillus rossius redtenbacheri, 930 nucleotides. RefSeq lists it as uncharacterized. NCBI's taxonomy places the organism in Eukaryota, Metazoa, Arthropoda, Insecta, Phasmatodea, Bacillidae. The transcript is spliced from 2 exons. The record is from RefSeq and is a predicted model, not a curated record.
UUACAAAAGAACAGUUUAGCCAAAGCAUUUAAAUUUCACGAUGCCAAGAUUAUUUCCUCUACUGGCCUUGACUGCCAUGGUGGCAUGCAAUAUGGAUGCUGCACCAAUCUUUCACUCACCUCUAAUCCUAAUACGUGGUCCAACCAUACAAUUUCAGUGGAAACUAUAUUUAAAGAAGUUAUUUAACUUUCCAAUGUACGACUCACGAGAAGAUGAGUAUUACGAUCAUGAAAAUAACUAUUUAGAGGAUGAGAAUGAAGACCAAGAGGAAGUGAAUGAAGAUGAAGAAGAGACAAAUGAAGAUGAAGAAGAGGUGACUGAAGAUGGUUCGGACGUUGGUUACGUUUCCAGUGACAGCGGAAAUGACAGAAACACCACAAGCAGCCAGCCAAACCCUAGCUCGUCCAGCGAUGUCACCGAAAACAGCCCUCUCUCUUCUACUGCUUCAACAACACAGGCUCCUGACGCUACGAGGGUGUCAAAAACCGUAGCGCAGCAGAUGUCUACAACAGCUUUAAACUCAUCGACACCAAGUGGUUGAUUUACAGUGCAAUGUUAAAGCAGCGUUAACUUGGCUGCUGGCAAACUUAGAUGCUCAGGUGAAGAGUUAUCCAUUUCACGUUUGCAGUUAUGUAGAAUUAGCAUUUAUUAUAAUCUCAAUGCUGAGAUGUUAAACAAGUCUCCUACGCUCGAUGUACCUGCCUCCUCUACCCUUAGUGCUUCACCAGGGCAUGGCCAUGAUUACCAUGUGAAGCACUAGCGUGUUUUCAAGAAAAAUCCAAAGAAUUGUGAUUAAUUCCUGGGAACUAUGAUUUUACUACAAUUGUAAGUUAUAAUUUUCAUUCUUUUGUUUUUGUUUUUCUCCUAUUAACUACUGAGGUAUAUGUACAUGUGUACUACAUUUUUCUCUAAUUAUACAAAUGCUAUCUA